Erpetoichthys calabaricus (reedfish) is the source of this 179-nucleotide long non-coding RNA. RefSeq lists it as uncharacterized. The record is from RefSeq and is a predicted model, not a curated record. The transcript is spliced from 2 exons. NCBI's taxonomy places the organism in Eukaryota, Metazoa, Chordata, Cladistia, Polypteriformes, Polypteridae.
GCUAAGUCAUGAAUGAGCUUCCGAUGCUCUCUGUUCAUGGGUGGAAAGCAAUGACUCCUUUUAGGUUGUUUGCCCUGCAAAAUAAAAUCUACUGUGAAGUGAAGCAAAACACCACACAUUGAGUAUCCUAAACAUAAUAUUACAAAUAAAGUAUAUCUUCAUAAUGUGAAUAAAGUUGA